This 1121-nucleotide ribosomal RNA is filed under the name Salmonella enterica subsp. enterica serovar Agona str. 400095 13. RNAcentral describes it as "bacterial LSU rRNA". It matches the Rfam family "Bacterial large subunit ribosomal RNA", at positions 1 to 1060 of the family's 2925-position model. The record is from RNAcentral. Lineage: Bacteria; Pseudomonadati; Pseudomonadota; Gammaproteobacteria; Enterobacterales; Enterobacteriaceae.
GGUUAAGCGACUAAGCGUACACGGUGGAUGCCCUGGCAGUCAGAGGCGAUGAAGGGCGUGCUAAUCUGCGAUAAGCGCCGGUAAGGUGAUAUGAACCGUUAUAACCGGCGAUACCCGAAUGGGGAAACCCAGUGUGACUCGUCACACUAUCAUUAACUGAAUCCAUAGGUUAAUGAGGCGAACCGGGGGAACUGAAACAUCUAAGUACCCCGAGGAAAAGAAAUCAACCGAGAUUCCCCCAGUAGCGGCGAGCGAACGGGGAGGAGCCCAGAGCCUGAAUCAGCAUGUGUGUUAGUGGAAGCGUCUGGAAAGGCGCGCGAUACAGGGUGACAGCCCCGUACACAAAAGCGCAUGUGCUGUGAGCUCGAUGAGUAGGGCGGGACACGUGGUAUCCUGUCUGAAUAUGGGGGGACCAUCCUCCAAGGCUAAAUACUCCUGACUGACCGAUAGUGAACCAGUACCGUGAGGGAAAGGCGAAAAGAACCCCGGCGAGGGGAGUGAAAAAGAACCUGAAACCGUGUACGUACAAGCAGUGGGAGCCCCACCACCAAAGCAUUCUCUGGUGUUGAAGGCCCUGCAAAGCAGCAUCGCGGUGGCGGAGCGUCGUUUGCGACGCCCAACACACAAAACAAGCGGUGAGUGCUUUGGGGUGGGGUGACUGCGUACCUUUUGUAUAAUGGGUCAGCGACUUAUAUUCUGUAGCAAGGUUAACCGAAUAGGGGAGCCGGAGGGAAACCGAGUCUUAAUUGGGCGUUAAGUUGCAGGGUAUAGACCCGAAACCCGGUGAUCUAGCCAUGGGCAGGUUGAAGGUUGGGUAACACUAACUGGAGGACCGAACCGACUAAUGUUGAAAAAUUAGCGGAUGACCUGUGGCUGGGGGUGAAAGGCCAAUCAAACCGGGAGAUAGCUGGUUCUCCCCGAAAGCUAUUUAGGUAGCGCCUCGUGAAUUCAUCUCCGGGGGUAGAGCACUGUUUCGGCUAGGGGGCCAUCCCGGCUUACCAACCCGAUGCAAACUGCGAAUACCGGAGAAUGUUAUCACGGGAGACACACGGCGGGUGCUAACGUCCGUCGUGAAGAGGGAAACAACCCAGACCGCCAGCUAAGGUCCCAAAGUCAUGGUU